CAGAGGUGGCAAGCGUUGUUCGGAAUUACUGGGCGUAAAGGGCGCGUAGGCGGCCAUCUAAGUCAGACGUGAAAUCCCCCGGCUUAACCUGGGAACUGCGUCUGAUACUGGAGGGCUCGAGUUUCGGGAGAGGGAUGUGGAAUUCCAGGUGUAGCGGUGAAAUGCGUAGAUAUCUGGAGGAACACCGGUGGCGAAGGCGGCAUCCUGGACCAACACUGACGCUGAGGCGCGAAAGCUAGGGGAGCAAACGGGAUUAGAUACCCCGGUAGUCCUAGCCCUAAACGAUGAAUGCUUGGUGUGGCGGGUAUCGAUCCCUGCCGUGCCGAAGCUAACGCAUUAAGCAUUCCGCCUGGGGAGUACGGUCGCAAGGCUG
RNAcentral lists this ribosomal RNA (373 nucleotides) under uncultured organism. Its description in RNAcentral is "bacterial SSU rRNA". It matches the Rfam family "Bacterial small subunit ribosomal RNA", at positions 526 to 896 of the family's 1533-position model. The record is from RNAcentral.